UACGAAGGGGGCUAGCGUUGUUCGGAAUUACUGGGCGUAAAGGGCGCGUAGGCGGCCUUCUAAGUCGAACGUGAAAUCCCCGGGCUCAACCCGGGAACUGCGUCCGAGACUGAAAGGCUCGAAUCCGGGAGAGGGAUGUGGAAUUCCUGGUGUAGCAGUGAAAUGCGUAGAUAUCAGGAGGAAUACCGAUGGCGAAGGCAGGUCUCUGGGCUAUAACUGACGCUCAUGCACGAAAGCGUGGGGAGCAAACAGG
RNAcentral lists this ribosomal RNA (253 nucleotides) under uncultured bacterium. Its description in RNAcentral is "partial 16S ribosomal RNA". It matches the Rfam family "Bacterial small subunit ribosomal RNA", at positions 524 to 776 of the family's 1533-position model. The record is from RNAcentral.